AGUGAACGCUGGCGGUAGGCCUAACACAUGCAAGUCGAACGGCAGCACAGUAAGAGCUUGCUCUUACGGGUGGCGAGUGGCGGACGGGUGAGGAAUACAUCGGAAUCUACUUUUUCGUGGGGGAUAACGUAGGGAAACUUACGCUAAUACCGCAUACGACCUACGGGUGAAAGCAGGGGAUCUUCGGACCUUGCGCGAUUGAAUGAGCCGAUGUCGGAUUAGCUAGUUGGCGGGGUAAAGGCCCACCAAGGCGACGAUCCGUAGCUGGUCUGAGAGGAUGAUCAGCCACACUGGAACUGAGACACGGUCCAGACGCCUACGGGAGGCAGAAGUGGGGAAUAUUGGACAAUGGGCGCAAGCCUGAUCCAGCCAUACCGCGUGGGUGAAGAAGGCCUUCGGGUUGUAAAGCCCUUUUGUGGGGAAAGAAAAGCAGCAGGUUAAUACCCCGCUGUUCUGACGGUACCCAAAGAAUAAGCACCGGCUAACUUCGU
RNAcentral lists this ribosomal RNA (491 nucleotides) under uncultured bacterium. RNAcentral describes it as "partial 16S ribosomal RNA". It matches the Rfam family "Bacterial small subunit ribosomal RNA", at positions 29 to 506 of the family's 1533-position model. The record is from RNAcentral.